AUCCUCCUCUCCAAACACAAUCUGUUCCCUCGUCCCCCUAAAAAACACCGCAAACUUCCCAUCCUCACGCUCCUCAGUAAUGGCCCCUUACCACCAUCCAUCAUUAUAGUACGCAUCAACCUGCUCACCGAACUUAAACUUCCUAUGUUUCUCCCUUGGGGCCACAGGCCUCAACUGUACUAAAUCAAAAAUCUCCCUUAAAGGUUUCUUGCCAGCUUCGUCAUUAAAUAGUUUUUCGUACUGGACUAAGUAUUUACUGGGCUUCUUACUGGAGGCACGGCGGAUGACCGUGCCCACAUACCAGGAGCCCAGAAAUCCGUCGUCGUCAGAGCUAAUCUCGACGAUGGAGCCAGGCUUG
This 358-nucleotide unclassified non-coding RNA is filed under the name Hevea brasiliensis (rubber tree). Lineage: Eukaryota; Viridiplantae; Streptophyta; Magnoliopsida; Malpighiales; Euphorbiaceae. The record is from RNAcentral.